RNAcentral lists this microRNA precursor (82 nucleotides) under Bombyx mori (domestic silkworm). RNAcentral's name for it is "mir-2807 microRNA precursor family". It matches the Rfam family "mir-2807 microRNA precursor family". Lineage: Eukaryota; Metazoa; Arthropoda; Insecta; Lepidoptera; Bombycidae. The record is from Rfam by way of RNAcentral.
UUAACUCAAAUUUGUAUGGAGUUGGAUCGUUUGACUACAGUUGCCGCUAGGGACGCUGUUCCAACUCUAUACAAAUAAGUUA